GGCCUAACACAUGCAAGUCGAACGGUAACAGGAAGAAGCUUGCUUCUUUGCUGACGAGUGGCGGACGGGUGAGUAAUGUCUGGGAAACUGCCUGAUGGAGGGGGAUAACUACUGGAAACGGUAGCUAAUACCGCAUAACGUCGCAAGACCAAAGAGGGGGACCUUCGGGCCUCUUGCCAUCGGAUGUGCCCAGAUGGGAUUAGCUAGUAGGUGGGGUAACGGCUCACCUAGGCGACGAUCCCUAGCUGGUCUGAGAGGAUGACCAGCCACACUGGAACUGAGACACGGUCCAGACUCCUACGGGAGGCAGCAGUGGGGAAUAUUGCACAAUGGGCGCAAGCCUGAUGCAGCCAUGCCGCGUGUAUGAAGAAGGCCUUCGGGUUGUAAAGUACUUUCAGCGGGGAGGAAGGGAGUAAAGUUAAUACCUUGCUCAUUGACGUUACCCGCAGA
This 450-nucleotide ribosomal RNA is filed under the name uncultured bacterium. RNAcentral's name for it is "bacterial SSU rRNA". It matches the Rfam family "Bacterial small subunit ribosomal RNA", at positions 45 to 485 of the family's 1533-position model. The record is from RNAcentral.